RNAcentral lists this long non-coding RNA (304 nucleotides) under Lathyrus oleraceus (garden pea). RNAcentral's name for it is "Pisum sativum (pea) long non-coding RNA (PSAT_LNC002299)". The record is from RNAcentral. Lineage: Eukaryota; Viridiplantae; Streptophyta; Magnoliopsida; Fabales; Fabaceae.
UUUCUUCUUCUUCCACUAAACUUCGGUAGUCUUUCUAAGAUGCCUUUGUUUGAUGUUUUUCUUUUAAUUUUUGUAGUCAUUUCCUUUUCUUUUCUUUUUUAACUUGCUCUUAGAGCAUUUUUGGUUUCUCUUUUGUGCAUAGUUUUGUUUUGUUUUUACUUAAGACUUGUAUGUUCAAAUUCUUAGGUAUUUUUGAUGUAUUCUUUCUUAGCCUCUGAUUGUAUAACCAAAGAAAUUUCCUUGGUUAAUUGGAUGUAUCAAAUGAAUCAAAUGAAAAAAUAAAUAUCAAGUCAAGAGGAUUGUG